RNAcentral lists this non-coding RNA (946 nucleotides) under Hapalochlaena fasciata. The record is from RNAcentral. Lineage: Eukaryota; Metazoa; Mollusca; Cephalopoda; Octopoda; Octopodidae.
AGAAUAUAUAAAUUUGACUUUGGUUUAGUUUUUAAUUAUUAUAAUUUUAUACAUGUUAGGUUUGUUGUUUUAUAUUCCGUUAGAUUUUUCAGUUAAUUUUGUUAAAUAUAAUUAGAUUUAAUAUUGAAUAUUUAAUUAAAAGAUGGUUUAUUAAAUAUUAUUUAAUAUAAACUCUGGAAUCUUCAGUAUAUAAAUUUAUACAAUGAAUGAAAGUUUUAUAUAGAAAUUGUAAAUGACUAUUGGAUAAAUUUGUGCCAGCAUCUGCGGUUAUACAUAUAAUAGAAAUUAAAAAUAGAUUGGUUGAAAAUAGAGUUAGAUUAUUUUAUUUUAAAAUGGACUUAAUAUAAUUAGUUUUUUGGGAAAAUUUUAUAAUUUGUUUGUUUAUAUUUUUUUUCAUUAUUGUUGAUUCUUUGAAAUUUUAAGAAUAAACUAGGAUUAGAUACCCUAUUAUUUUAUAACGUAAAAAUUGAUAUAUGUAUUUACCUAAGUAUUAUGAAUUUUUAUUUAUUUAAAACUUAAAAAGUUUGGCGGGUUUACAUAUCCAUUUAGGGGAGUCUGUUAAUAUAAUUUGAUAAUCCGCAUUUUAAACUAAUUUUUUUUUGAUAUUAUAAUUAUGUUUAUAAUUAUAACAGUUUAUAUAUUGCUGUCGUCAGUUUAUGUUUUGAGGUUAAAAGAACUAUUAAAUAUUGAGUGUUGUUAUGUCAAGUCAUAAUGUAGCUGAUAGAAAAGGUUUAAUGGACUACUUUAAUUAAUUUUGUUUAUUAAACCAGAUAAUGAAGAUUAUAUUUUGUUAGUAAGGUGGACUUAAUAGUAAAUUAAUAAUUAGUAUGUAUUAUUGAAUAUUGGUUUUGUAAGAUGUACAUAUCGCCCGUCGCUCUUGUUGAUUAAAUAAGAUAAGUCGUAACAUAGUAGAGGUAAUGGAAAUUGCUUCUGGAAUAUUUAGGAU